UUGGUAUAAAAUUAUUGAAAUGGUUUUGAGAAGACGUUAUGGUGUUCGUUGGUUGAAUUUUUAAUUUUGAGAUUUGAAGACUAUGUUUUUUUUUUAUAACUCGAAGACUAUGUUUUAGGUUGUUUAUUGUUUUUUUACUAAUGAUGUAGGUCGAAGAAGAAAAACCAGAAGUUAUAGAGCUUGGCUGGUUAUAAAAGUCAUUGCUAUCAUAUAUAGAAAUGGUAUUUAUUUGAUGUGUAAUACUAUUAAAUGUAUAUGAUCGGUUUUAUUUGAUGUGAUAUCUAUACUAUUAAAUGUAUAUGAAUUUCAUGGAAACAUAAGUGAUCGCUACGGUCAUCAAU
RNAcentral lists this long non-coding RNA (341 nucleotides) under Brassica rapa (field mustard). RNAcentral's name for it is "long non-coding RNA (BRAP_LNC006974)". Lineage: Eukaryota; Viridiplantae; Streptophyta; Magnoliopsida; Brassicales; Brassicaceae. The record is from RNAcentral.